Molecule: unclassified non-coding RNA, 297 nt
Filed under: uncultured Chaetomium
Lineage: Eukaryota; Fungi; Ascomycota; Sordariomycetes; Sordariales; Chaetomiaceae
Description: partial contains 5.8S ribosomal RNA, internal transcribed spacer 2, and large subunit ribosomal RNA
Rfam family: 5.8S ribosomal RNA (bases 1-102)
Source: RNAcentral
AUGCGAUAAGUAAUGUGAAUUGCAGAAUUCAGUGAAUCAUCGAAUCUUUGAACGCACAUUGCGCCCGCCAGUAUUCUGGCGGGCAUGCCUGUUCGAGCGUCAUUUCAACCAUCAAGCCCCCGGGCUUGUGUUGGGGACCUGCGGCUGCCGCAGGCCCCGAAAACCAGUGGCGGGCUCGCUGUCACCCCGAGCGUAGUAGUUUACACCUCGCCCAGGGCGUGCCGCGGGUUCCCGGCCGUUAAACCCCCCCAUCUCAAGGUUGACCUCGGAUCAGGUAGGAAGACCCGCUGAACUUAA